Molecule: non-coding RNA, 1296 nt
Organism: Dermacentor andersoni
Lineage: Eukaryota; Metazoa; Arthropoda; Arachnida; Ixodida; Ixodidae
Source: RefSeq, a predicted model, not a curated record
UCCAUGCACACCGUGGCAGGCCUAAGAAUGUUCGCAGAGCUUGGGCCUGAAGCCUUUCGAACGACCGAAAGCUCAGCGAAGACGCCUCAUGGACAGAGAAUUACUUGUGAAAUGAGUGGAAGUCCAAGCUGGCGAAACCGAACAAGCACCGCCAUCUUCGCAAGACCACCGAAAUGAAACAAAAUAAAUAUCAAAUUGUAAGAAGAGAAGAUACGGCGUAUCCCCCCUGAAGUACAAUUUCUCUUUUUCUAACAUCUUUCAUGUUGCCUUUAUUAUUAUUAUUAUUAUUAUUAUUAUUAUUAUUAUUAUUAUUAUUAUUAUUAUUAUUAUUAUUAUUAUUUACAUAAGUAAAGGUUCUACAGACUAGGCAUCUCCAUCCGGAGCAGCCUUGGUGUAAGGGCAUACGCCUUGGUUUUCUUUUUUUUUUCGGAGGUAUUAAGUCAAAAACUUCAAAAACGGCCGAAAGUGUGCUAUAUGUUAGCAUUAUUCUUUCACCAAAUAUCCUAUAGUGACCACGUCCCCUGUUUACAAUGGAAGAGGAGAAGAAGAAGAGAAAGAAGGACUAUGCUUGUUAGCAAACAACAAUCUGUAACAGUAGACACUUUAAUUCACAUUUACAAGAUACUCAUUUCAUUUCACCUGCUCCACGUGCUCUCGAUCUGUGACACGCCGUCGUGCACGAAACGCCGGCAGCACUACGGAGGCCUACGUCUUCAGGACAGGCGUGUACUUGAGCCCGACCUUCACUUCACGGGUCUUUUGCAGGUGGAGCGCACCCGGGUGCCCAUCCCGAGCAUCUUGUCGUGAGUGCCAACGGUGAUUCGCAUGGAGAAGCGGCCCGAGCCCGAGGUGACGCUGUGCUCAGCCGUGUUCCUGUGCCUGGUCGUGUCCUCAACCACCGCGCUGGUGCUGGCGCGCAGGGUGCCCAAGUACGCUGAAGAACCAAGAACCACGCGGAAGGCGCGUGGUUCUGCCAGGCUGCCUCGAGCACGCGCGCCGGCUGAGCUGAGCACGCUGUACCCGACGGCCGACCAGUGCCUGGAUUUUCACUGGCACCUCUCGGACGCGCAUAUACGAAUGCGUUAGCAUUGCCGAAGACCGGCCAGACCGGCUGCGCGGAUCGCCGGCCAGAUCGGACAGGUUCUGCAGGCACACAUGCAAGGCAUGUGCAGCCUGGCGUAAUACUUGAGCGGCGUCGUGCGUCGCUUCGAUACAUGCUAUGCAUGCAUUCCAAUAUUUAUUGAGCUUUCAUUGUAAUUUGUUAUAGAAUAAAAUAUUUUAGCCUUUCGUCGUUAC